RNAcentral lists this ribosomal RNA (380 nucleotides) under uncultured eukaryote. RNAcentral's name for it is "partial 18S ribosomal RNA". It matches the Rfam family "Eukaryotic small subunit ribosomal RNA", at positions 592 to 976 of the family's 1831-position model. The record is from RNAcentral.
CAAUAGCGUAUAUUAAAGUUGUUGCAGUUAAAAAGCUCGUAGUUGGAUUUGUGGCGUACGGUGUGUUCCGGGCACUUGUUGUCUGAGUAACCUGCUGUUGCCAUCCUUGGGUGGAACCUGUGUGGCAUUAGGUUGUCGUGCAGGGGAUGCCCAUCAUUUACUGUGAAAAAAUUAGAGUGUUCAAAGCAGGCUUAUGCCGUUGAAUAUAUUAGCAUGGAAUAAUGAGAUAGGACUUUUUUGCUAUUUUGUUGGUUUGCGCAAAGAGGUAAUGAUUAAUAGGGACAGUUGGGGGUAUUCGUAUUCCAUUGUCAGAGGUGAAACUCUUGGAUUUUUGGAAGACGAACUACUGCGAAAGCAUUUACCAAGGAUGUUUUCAUUAA